CCUAGGGAGGCAGCAGUGGGGAAUAUUGCACAAUGGGGGAAACCCUGAUGCAGCGACGCCGCGUGAGCGAUGAAGUAUUUCGGUAUGUAAAGCUCUAUCAGCCGGGAAGAAAAUGCCGGUACCUGACUAAGCAGCCCCUACUAACUACGUGCCAGCAGCCGCGGUAAUACGUAGGGGGCAAGCGUUAUCCGGAUUUACUGGGUGUAAAGGGAGCGUAGACGGCGGUGCAAGCCAGAUGUGAAAGCCCGGGGCUCAACCCCGGGACUGCAUUUGGAACUGUGCUGCUAGAGUGUCGGAGAGGCAGGCGGAAUUGCUAGUGUAGCGGGGAAAUGCGUAGAUAUUAGGAGGAACACCAGUGGCGAAGGCGGCCUGCUGGACGAUGACUGACGUUGAGGCUCGAAAGCGUGGGGAGCAAACAGGAUUAGAUACCCUAGUAGUC
RNAcentral lists this ribosomal RNA (439 nucleotides) under uncultured bacterium. RNAcentral's name for it is "partial 16S ribosomal RNA". It matches the Rfam family "Bacterial small subunit ribosomal RNA", at positions 338 to 795 of the family's 1533-position model. The record is from RNAcentral.